UGCCCUAGCCUCAGCCGUGACACCCAUCUCCUCGGCGCUACCAAUCUGAUUUGUUGUUCAUUGUGCCCUGGUUUUCAUUGCUGAUCCGAGAUUGGGGUUUCCUCAAUUCCAGUCAUCUCAUUACUGAUUGGUUCUGUUGCCAUUACAGAACGGCUGAAGAAGAAUUGAGGAUAUUGAUUCGAGACGGUGUCUUGACGGGGGAUCUGUUUUGGAUACGAUCCUUUUCGAUUGGAGGCGGGU
This is a long non-coding RNA of Zingiber officinale, 240 nucleotides long. RefSeq lists it as uncharacterized. The record is from RefSeq and is a predicted model, not a curated record. The transcript has 3 exons. Lineage: Eukaryota; Viridiplantae; Streptophyta; Magnoliopsida; Zingiberales; Zingiberaceae.